Molecule: long non-coding RNA, 207 nt
Organism: Boleophthalmus pectinirostris (great blue-spotted mudskipper)
Lineage: Eukaryota; Metazoa; Chordata; Actinopteri; Gobiiformes; Gobiidae
Exons: 3
Source: RefSeq, a predicted model, not a curated record
CAGAAUCUUCCUGUUGGAGCGGAGCCUGUGGGAGCCCUGAACCUCUCCUACAUCUCCAUGGUGAGUGAUGCCACCAAACUGCGCCCGAAAGCCGAGUUCUGUUUCGUGAUAAACGCUGGAAUGAGGAAGUUUUACCUUCAGGCCAACGACCAGCAGGACCUGGUGGAGUGGAUCUCUGUCCUCAACAACGCAACCAAAAUCACUGUG